This is a long non-coding RNA of Ficedula albicollis (Collared flycatcher), 1863 nucleotides long. NCBI's taxonomy places the organism in Eukaryota, Metazoa, Chordata, Aves, Passeriformes, Muscicapidae. The record is from Ensembl.
GGGGGGGGGGGGGGGGGGGGGGGGGGGGGGGGGGGGGGGGGGGGGGGGGGGGGGGGGGGGGGGGGGGGGGGGGGGGGGGGGGGGGGGGGGGGGGGGGGGGGGGGGGGGGGGGGGGCCCCCCCCCCCAGUUAACAGCUCGCCCGCGGGUGUGGUGACUUCGCACAGGACCCCACAAAUCCCAGCACACGCUGCCGGGAGCCCUGCGGGGAGCUGCGGUCCCGGCCGUGCCCCCCCCACCCCCGGCCCUGCCCUUAUCCCGGUGACACUCGUGUCCUCCUAUUAACCCUGUGGAGAGGGGACAAAAGCUAAACUAUGAUCCUGCGCUGCUUCCCCCCCAUCCCGCUGCCGGCUGCGUGAGCUUCACAUCCUCCUGCUAAGGCUGAAAGGAACAAGAACAAGAGCUGCUGAUGGUUGAAAGGGAAGAGGUGGUGGAUCCAAGGAAGCUCGGAACAGUGGGAUGGAAAACGUCUCCAGUGGGCAGGCACCUAGGACAGAAGAUCCCAGCCCUGGUUUGCUGCUCUUUUGCUGAAGCAGCUCAGGCUCUCCCUCCCUCAUGGCCAGAGUGGAAAAGCACGUUUAAAUCCCGAGCUCGCCUUUCCCACGUGGUGUCUCGCUGAGCUGCUGUCAAAGCCACGCCGCGCUCUCACAGGGCACCGGAGCUUCUUCCCUGCCCUGCCGGGGAGGCACAAGGUGAUGGACAUUUUUAACUAAACCGUAUUUUCGGGACACCUCACUAAACCCCAAACUUGUGCUGAAAAAUUUGCUCUCCUCGUGAUCAGGCUCCAACUUUUUAAUUCCACCUGGACCGAGUGUACAAAUAAUGAGGGGAGUAAAGGUGUGCUCCCCCUUCCUGGGUGCCUGCUGAAGGGGUGGAUGUUUGUCAGCGAUUUGGGGGUUAAUUCAGACAAGUUUAUUUCACAUUCUGAGUCUUCAUACACGCAAAGGGCACGCAUGGUUUGGGGUGAGGGAUUAGCGGUGUUUGCAGGGGGACAAACCCAAUUGUGGAUAUGAAUAUGGGAUGUACUGGAUCUGUGCCUAAGCACUAAAUCGAGGGGGGGCUGGGUUUUAGGUGACUUUUCACCCCAUUCCGAGAUCGUGGUCACAAUGUACCGUGUUUCAACACUCAUUGGGGAGAAAGGGACACACAGGGGAGGCAGAGCAGUACCCCAAAUUACAUCUGCGCUUCAGACCGCGCUGCAGUCUCCAAGGGACUGUGUCCCCAACCUUUAAUUAUUCCGCUUAAACAGGCCUAGAGCACGCCACAUUUUUAAGGCCUUUUCCCUGGUGUCUCUAGGAGGCAGCCUUCAUCGAGCGAGGAGAGCAAAUCUUGGCAAGAAGAGCGCCGAAGGAUGUGAACCCCUUGGAAAAUUCCACUUCCUGCCCGGCACUGCGUGUCCUUGGGUCUCUCACUCAUUCCCAUGCACUUAACGAGGGAUUUCUGCCUCAGGCUACCACACCAACUUUCUAAAUAAAUGCCGCGCACACCCGAGCGCGGUGCUCUGCAGUUAAUCUCAGCCCAACACCAGCUCUCUCUCCUCUCUUCCUACUUCCCUCCAUUUUAUUUCUCCGCUGGUUUUUCUCUCCAGCAGGCUCCUACUCUCUCUCCUGCGGAACUUGCCGGGAACAAAAGGCUCCGUUCCCGAUCCAGCCCGCAGUUGCCGUGAGAAACUUCCUCGCCAGCGCUGUCUGUCGCUCCGCUCUCCCUCCCUCGCUCCCUCCCUGCCUCGGGAAAAUGGCAGUGCAAGAGCCUGAUGAAAAGGGGGAAAAAACCCUCCUUUCUCAGCGCCUGCCUCUCCUGCAGCACCUCCCCUCCCCAGCCGUGACGCCUGAACUCAAACUUCUCUAAAAUUACACUUUAGGAGG